Molecule: ribosomal RNA, 247 nt
Filed under: uncultured bacterium
Lineage: Bacteria
Description: partial 16S ribosomal RNA
Rfam family: Bacterial small subunit ribosomal RNA
Source: RNAcentral
GCAGCUACCCAGCAAUGGGAUGCGAAUCUCGAAAGCCUGUCUCAGUUCGGAUUGGAGGCUGAAACCCGCCUCCACUGAAGUUGGAUUCGCUAGUAAUCGCGCAUCAGCCAUGGCGCGGUGAAUACGUUCCCGGGCCUUGUACACACCGCCCGUCAAGCCAUGGGAGCCGGGGGUGCCUGAAGUUCGUGACCGCAAGGAGCGACCUAGGGCAAAACUGGUGACUGGGGCUAAGUCGUAACAAGGUAGC